AUGAGGACGGACGUAAGGAGGGUCGUCACCAAAAGAAGAGGCAGAGUGCUGCGGGGAGAAAGGAGAGCAGCAACUGCCAACCAAGGGACGGACCUCCUGAGGCAAUGGGAAACUAUCACACCCCCACCAGGUAAAAGCCAGGAGGGCCCCACCCCCACACAGCUCCAGGUCACUGGGAGCAGCGACCCUCUGACAGCCCCACUGUCAGAUAUAGAAGCAGACAGCGUGGACCCUGGUCACAGCCCGAUGACACCGGAGCGGGAAAAUGGACCGAGUGAGGAGCUGAACAGCGACCUCAGCCCUGCGAGGGUCCAGCAGUUCGUGUUCUGUCCAGGUCCUCUCCCACCAACUCUUCUCCUAACUGUGAGCUCCAGUGAAGAAAUCGCAAGCAGCAAGUUUGCAACCAUUGUCUGUUCAAUCAUCGAUUUCCAUCCAAAGUCAAUCUCCGCGAACAGGAACUUCUCGGUGACGAGUCGGCUGAUGGUCCCUUAUGGUGAAUGGUACAACAGCGCAGUCUAUACCUGCCAGGUCACUCAUGAAGACAACGUUCAAAGUAAAAACAUCACCGCACUCCAGGAAGAUACCGAGUGCCACCCUAACACCGUUAAAAUCCUCCCACCGCCAGUAGAACAAGUCUUACUGGAGGCGACGGUGACGUUAACCUGCGUUGUGUCCAAUCUUCCUUCUGGAGUCAACGUGACCUGGAAACAAGAAAAGAAGCCUCUGAAAUCAGAGAUUGCUGACCAGCCUGGACAGAAUCCCGACAGCGUGAUCAGCAAAUUAGACAUUUCUACUGAAGCCUGGCUGAGUGGCGUUACUUUUGAAUGUGUGGUGUACCAUCAGAAUCUACCGACUCCGCUGAGAGACUCCAUCCACAAGGAGAAAGUGAUUAAUCCGCUGGAGCCAUCAGUGUCGGUCCUCCUGCCACCAACAGAAGAAAUCUCCGCUCAGAGGUUUCUCUCCCUCACCUGUUUAGUGAGAGGUUUCUCCCCCCGAGAGAUCUUCGUCAAGUGGACAAACAAUGACAAGCCGGUGAAUCCCAGUAACUACAAGAACACCGAGGUGAUGGCGGAGAGUGACAAUACUUCCUUCUUCAUCUACAGCCUGUUAUCCAUUACAGCGGAGGAGUGGGCCAGCGGUGCUUCUUACUCCUGUGUGGUGGGACAUGAAGCGAUUCCAUUGAAGAUCAUCAACAGAACAGUCGAUAAAUCCAGCGAUUCAAUAGAUAGCACUUGGAUUGAAGACUAUGAGGAUGAUAACAGCAACAUCUGGACAACUGCUUCCACGUUCAUCACCUUGUUCUUCCUGAGUAUUUUCUACAGCGCUGCCGUCACUCUGGUGAAGCGCCGCUCAACAACCGCUGCCACUGCCGGCUCUCGGCAAGGAACGUCAGGCGGGGGAAGGCAUUUACUGCGCAUGUUCCCUCCCAGGCCACCACCUACUGCGCAUGCUCUGGCCAAGAGCGGGAAGGUUAAACGGCUUAACGGAAAGUUCUGGAACGUGCUUGAGUAA
This is a non-coding RNA of Hemiscyllium ocellatum (epaulette shark), 1512 nucleotides long. NCBI's taxonomy places the organism in Eukaryota, Metazoa, Chordata, Chondrichthyes, Orectolobiformes, Hemiscylliidae. The record is from the annotation of a RefSeq genome assembly.